Molecule: ribosomal RNA, 443 nt
Filed under: uncultured bacterium
Lineage: Bacteria
Description: partial 16S ribosomal RNA
Rfam family: Bacterial small subunit ribosomal RNA
Source: RNAcentral
CCUACGGGCGGCAGCAGUGGGGAAUAUUGGGCAAUGGGCGCAAGCCUGACCCAGCAACGCCGCGUGAAGGAAGAAGGCUUUCGGGUUGUAAACUUCUUUUCUCAGGGACGAAACAAGUGACGGUACCGGAGGAAUAAGCCACGGCGAACUACGGGCCAGCAGUCGCGGUAAUACGUAGGUGGCAAGCGGUCUCCGGAUUUACUGGGUGUAAAGGGCGUGUAGGCGGGGACGCAAGUCAGAUGUGAAAACCACGGGCUCAACCGGUGGACUGCAUUUGAAACUGUGUGUCUUGAGUGCUGGAGAGGCAGACGGAAUUCGUAGUGUAGCGGUGAAAUGCGUAGAUAUUAGGAGGAACACCGGUGGCGAAGGCGGUCUACUGGACAGCAACUGACGCUGAGGCGCGAAAGCGUGGGGAGCAAACAGGAUUAGAUACCCCUGUAGUC